RNAcentral lists this long non-coding RNA (1286 nucleotides) under Mus spicilegus (steppe mouse). Its description in RNAcentral is "lncRNA (ENSMSIG00000029016.1)". The record is from RNAcentral. Lineage: Eukaryota; Metazoa; Chordata; Mammalia; Rodentia; Muridae.
AAGAAUGUUUGCUCUGCCUCUCCAGCCCACCCCCAUCUUGUGGUUACACCCCACUCCUCCUAGUUCCGCCCCUAGCCCAGCCCUGGCCUGCCCCUCACCUCAGCUAAAUACUUUCAAGCAAGCCCCUUCUACCUGGGGCAUCCCUGUUCACAGCAUGAGGCCUUUUCCUGAUUGGCCUCUCUUAACCUCGGUGCACAUAGAAGGCUUGCUAACCAGCAGACAUCAGUGGAGACUUCAGAGUCAUACCCAUAAGCCUGCUUGUCAGAAAAGAAAGGAGGGAGACUGAUGCUGCUCUCAAGAUCUUCCAGAAGUGAACCACCCCAGACUUGAUGCUCCAGCUCAGGCUGGGAUCACAUUCCUGCUCUUUCCACUAAAACUCAACAUACAACUGCAGCAGCGGGACUGGCUCCUGUGGAGGGGGCCUAUCUACAGUUCUGCCCCCUGAGACCUGCUGCUUCUGGGAACUGUUCUCCACAGAGGACUGUUCUUCCUUGACUUUGGGGACCUCCUAGAGCUGAUGGUUAUAAUCUCUCCCAAUCUUUCUUGAUUUGUAUCCUGCUGCAAAUGAGAGUCUUAAGGUCUCUUCCUUCUGGGUUCUAUUUAUGUAUUUCUUUGUGUGAAUUAUUGCUCCUAUGUUAGAAGUAAAACUCCCACUUUUUGUCUCCUUUCACUUUCUGUCCACUCCAAUCUUAGAGUUAUGACAAUUGGCCAAAAUGAGUAGAACCCAUGGCACAUCAAGUUUCUAUAGAAUCAGAUGCAUCCUGGGUGGGCAUCUAAGCCACUGACCCCGCUUGAUUGGGGGGUGGACAAGGGGCAUCCCCUGACCUGGGGCCCCAGGAUGAUACCCUAUAGCCCUGGGGUUAUGGGAGAGAGGGCUGAGAGAGAGAGGUUCCCACGCAGGUGAGAGUAUGAACAGGGCCUUGAUGAAAAGAGACAGUCUAUGAUUUUAGACCUUUAUUGUAGAAAGGCAGGGGGGAAGAGAAAAGGUGAAGAGAGAGAGAGAGAGAGAGAAAGAGAGAGAGAAUGAAUGAGAGAGAGAGAGAGAAUGAAUGAGAGAGAGAGAGAAUGAAUGAGAGAGAGAGAGAGAGAGAGAGAGAGAGAGAGAGAGAGAAAGAGACUGGCCAUGGAGGAGAGAAGGGGGAAAGAAGAGAGAGAAGAAAGGCUAGAGUAAGAGGGAGAGAGUAAGAGAUGAGAGAGAGAGAGAGAGAGAGAGAGAGAGAGAGAGAGAGAGGAGAGUAAGAGCAAGAGAGCAAGAGGAGUAAGAGUAAGAGAGUGAGGUGGGGCCA